UACGUAGGGUGCAAGCGUUGUCCGGAAUUAUUGGGCGUAAAGAGCUCGUAGGCGGUCUGUCACGUCGGAUGUGAAAACUCGGGGCUCAACCCCGAGCCUGCAUACGAUACGGGCAGACUUGAGUGUGGCAGGGGAGUCUGGAAUUCCUGGUGUAGCGGUGAAAUGCGCAGAUAUCAGGAGGAACACCGGUGGCGAAGGCGGGACUCUGGGCCAAUACUGACGCUGAGGAGCGAAAGCGUGGGGAGCAAAC
RNAcentral lists this ribosomal RNA (250 nucleotides) under uncultured bacterium. RNAcentral describes it as "partial 16S ribosomal RNA". It matches the Rfam family "Bacterial small subunit ribosomal RNA", at positions 524 to 773 of the family's 1533-position model. The record is from RNAcentral.